Long non-coding RNA from Musca vetustissima, 175 nucleotides. RefSeq lists it as uncharacterized. NCBI's taxonomy places the organism in Eukaryota, Metazoa, Arthropoda, Insecta, Diptera, Muscidae. The transcript is spliced from 2 exons. The record is from RefSeq and is a predicted model, not a curated record.
AUUUGAAUGAAAAUGUUUCAGUUCAGUACGUGCUCUCUUGACGUCGAAACGUGUGCGUGUGUGUCCGGUUGAGGAUCGAUUCGAUCGGUUGUAUUCAACUUCUGAAGUUCUGAGUAUUUCAAUGGGGUGACUUGUGAAAUUUAGUUUUACUCCUGAACCCGGGACAAAAAAGGUA